UACGGGGGGUGCAAACGUUGCUCGGAAUUAUUGGGCGUAAAGCGCACGUAGGCGGCUCGUUAAGUCGGAUGUGAAAUCCCUCGGCUCAACCGAGGAAGUGCAUCCGAAACUGGCGAGCUUGAGUACGGAAGAGGGUCUCGGAAUUCCCGGUGUAGAGGUGAAAUUCGUAGAUAUCGGGAGGAACACCAGUGGCGAAGGCGGAGACCUGGGCCGAUACUGACGCUGAGGUGCGAAAGCGUGGGGAGCAAACAGG
This 253-nucleotide ribosomal RNA is filed under the name uncultured bacterium. Its description in RNAcentral is "partial 16S ribosomal RNA". It matches the Rfam family "Bacterial small subunit ribosomal RNA", at positions 524 to 776 of the family's 1533-position model. The record is from RNAcentral.